GCCCUCAUAGCUCAGUUGGCAGAGCGCAUUCUUGGUAAGAAUGAGGUCAUGGGUUCAAAUCCCAUUGAGGGCU
This 73-nucleotide transfer RNA is filed under the name Chloroflexi bacterium ADurb.Bin120. Its description in RNAcentral is "tRNA-Thr". It matches the Rfam family "tRNA". From Rfam's summary of the family: Transfer RNA (tRNA) molecules are approximately 80 nucleotides in length. Their secondary structure includes four short double-helical elements and three loops (D, anti-codon, and T loops). The record is from RNAcentral. RNAcentral also lists the same sequence under 6 other names. Lineage: Bacteria; Bacillati; Chloroflexota.